AAUGCAGUGAUGGAAGGCUAUUAGGUACAGUCAAGUAUUUGCGAAGUUUGUGUGUGGAUCAAGAUAGGAUUGACUCCUUCGGAUUAUAAGAGCUGAUGUAUUGCUAUAUUUUAAUUUAGUAAAAUUUUGAUCAAGAUAAUCCAUGAAAUGGAUUUGAAAAAUUAAAAUAUAAUGUGAAUGAAAUACUUUAAGUUCACAGUUAAUCUGAGAUCAUCCUAAAGCAUUCAGGAACAAAAGGAUAAAUUAUGCGG
Molecule: long non-coding RNA, 251 nt
Filed under: Elaeis guineensis (African oil palm)
Lineage: Eukaryota; Viridiplantae; Streptophyta; Magnoliopsida; Arecales; Arecaceae
Description: long non-coding RNA (EGUI_LNC005723)
Source: RNAcentral